UACAGAAUUCGUUCAUAAACUUAAAAAUACAAUAGUGCAAAAUUAUUUGAAAAAGUUAAAAAAGACUUUGUAUCAAGACCUAUGUUUUUGUACAUAAAAGAAAGUCUUUAAUUUCGAUCUUUCUUAGCGAAAAUAUGUAGAAAAUAAUAUCGAGGAGUAAAUAAAUAAAUAAAUAUUGAAUUGAAUAUUAAUAAAAAUCUUGGUGAUUAUGCUUAUAUACCCCACGCCUCAGAUUACCACUAUACAAUAAUAUCACCAGGUUCAUUAGUUCAAAAACUGUUUACCCCUUCUGAAGCCGAAUGAUAAAAAAAGGUGGACAUGGGCAUUUAUUAUAAAGGAGAUGUGAUAUGAUUGCAAAUGAGACAACUGUCCACAAGAGACCAAAUAACACAGACAUUAACAACUAUAGGUCACCGUACGGCCUUCAACAAUUAGCAAAGCCCGUACCGCAUGUGGAUAUGGGCAUUUAUUAUAAAGGAGAUGUGAUAUGAUUGCAAAUGAGACAACUGUUCACAAGAGACCAAAAUAACUGAAAUUAACAACUAUAGGUCACCGUACGGCCUUCAACAAUGAACAAACCCUAUACAGCGUAGUCAGCAUUAAAAGGCUCAUUUACAUAUAUUGCCCAUAAUUUUGUAAGUGGUUUUGGUGACAAUAUUAAGGUAGAAAAAGAAGUUUACAGGAUCAUAAUUUCGAGAAAAAAACCAUUGAAUCAUAAUUUUCUGUUCAUAUGCACGUCUUCAUAAUAUGUCCUAAUUAUCUACAAAGUUCAAGACUGACUGACUGACGGACGGAUGGUUCAAAACAUUAUAUUCUACUACAUUAUUUGCGUGGGGAAUAAUUAUUAAAACCCUAUUUUUGCUAUUUCGAUACAAUGAGUGACCAUAUUGAACGCCUCAUUCAAACUACAAUAUGAUUUAUUUAUUCUUUUUUUUUGAAGCAGUACUACAUUUCUUUUUAAAAAAAUUCUAUGGUGUAUAUUAAAAUUAAUAGUCAGGGCGGUUUAAUAAUCUAAUGCUUUCAUUUCCCUAUUUGAAUAGUAAUAUAUAGUUUAUAUACUAAUUCUACUUCUGUAGUUUUAGAAAUAUCAAAUCAUUGUAAGUGACAUCGUUCUUUACGUGUAUUGAUGAAAUGCUUGUAAAUUAGAUAAAAAGUAUUUUAAUUAGUACAAUAGUAAAUCAAAUUUCAAAACUAUUAGUUUAAUGUGAAGCAAAUACAGCUUUAUCCAGUCUUUCAGUUAAUUUCCUAUGAUACCCUAGCGUUUAAUACAGUACUCCUCAGAUUCUUUGCUAACAGUGAGUUAAUAAUUAGCACCGGAGCAGAUAUUUCUAUGUGCAAAGAAUAAUUAUGUUGCUUAAAUUAACUGCAAGUACAAUGUGUGACAGGGACCAAGUCCCGAAAAAAAUAUUGUUCGUCAUAACAUUUAAACUCAUAGCAAGACUUUCAAUAAGUUGUUCAAACAUUAACUACUAAAAAAUCAUCAAUUAUUCAUAUUGUAGAAGUUUUUUUGAAAGAAAUAAAUUUGUUUAUGUUUUUUUUAUUGUAAGAAAUACUUAGAGUAUUG
RNAcentral lists this long non-coding RNA (1564 nucleotides) under Mytilus galloprovincialis (Mediterranean mussel). The record is from RNAcentral. Lineage: Eukaryota; Metazoa; Mollusca; Bivalvia; Mytilida; Mytilidae.